Molecule: ribosomal RNA, 252 nt
Filed under: uncultured bacterium
Lineage: Bacteria
Description: partial 16S ribosomal RNA
Rfam family: Bacterial small subunit ribosomal RNA
Source: RNAcentral
UACAUGGGGUGCAAACGUUGCUCGGAAUUAUUGGGCGUAAAGCGCGCGUAGGCGGUCCGUUAAGUCGGAUGUGAAAUCCCUCGGCUCAACCGAGGAAGUGCAUCCGAAACUGGCGGGCUUGAGUACGAAAGAGGGUCGCGGAAUUCCCGGUGUAGAGGUGAAAUUCGUAGAUAUCGGGAGGAACACCGGUGGCGAAGGCGGCGACCUGGGUCGAUACUGACGCUGAGGUGCGAAAGCGUGGGGAGCAAACAG